GAUCCUGGCUCAGAUUGAACGCUGGCGGCAUGCCUUACACAUGCAAGUCGAACGGCAGCACGGGAGCUUGCUCCUGGUGGCGAGUGGCGAACGGGUGAGUAAUACAUCGGAACGUACCCUGAAGUGGGGAUAACGUAGCGAAAGUUACGCUAAUACCGGCAUAUUCUGUGAGCAGGAAAGAGGGGGAUCGCAAGACCUCUUGCUUUAGGAGCGGCCGAUGUCGGAUUAGCUAGUUGGUGAGGUAAAGGCUCACCAAGGCGACGAUCCGUAGCGGGUCUGAGAGGAUGAUCCGCCACACUGGGACUGAGACACGGCCCAGACUCCUACGGGAGGCAGCAGUGGGGAAUUUUGGACAAUGGGCGCAAGCCUGAUCCAGCCAUGCCGCGUGAGUGAAGAAGGCCUUCGGGUUGUAAAGCUCUUUCGGUGGGGAAGAAAUUGCUUCGGUUAAUACCUGGAGUAGAUGACGGUACCCGCAUAAGAAGCACCGGCUAACUACGUG
RNAcentral lists this ribosomal RNA (499 nucleotides) under uncultured bacterium. RNAcentral describes it as "bacterial SSU rRNA". It matches the Rfam family "Bacterial small subunit ribosomal RNA", at positions 15 to 507 of the family's 1533-position model. The record is from RNAcentral.